RNAcentral lists this unclassified non-coding RNA (240 nucleotides) under soil metagenome. RNAcentral's name for it is "partial contains 5.8S ribosomal RNA, internal transcribed spacer 2, and large subunit ribosomal RNA". The record is from RNAcentral.
AACCAUAGAAACCUGCGGAGUACCUGCGGAGGGAUCAUUACACAGUAAACAUAUGAAGGCUGCACCGCCAACAGGCGGCAAGGCUGGAGUAUUUUAUUACCCUUGUCUUUUGCGCACUUGUUGUUUCCUGGGCGGGUUCGCCCGCCUCCAGGACCACAUGAUAAACCUUUUUUAUGCAGUUGCAAUCAGCGUCAGUACAACAAAUGUAAAUCAUUUACAACUUUUAACAAUGGAUCUCAG